UGGCAAGCGUUGUCCGGAAUUAUUGGGCGUAAAGCGCGCGCAGGCGGAUCAGUUAGUCUGUCUUAAAAGUUCGGGGCUUAACCCCGUGAUGGGAUGGAAACUGUGAUCUAGAGUAUCGGAGAGGAAAGUGGAAUUCCUAGUGUAGCGGUGAAAUGCGUAGAUAUUAGGAAGAACACCAGUGGCGAAGGCGACUUUCUGGAMKAAAACUGACGCUGAGGCGCGAAAGCCAGGGGAGCGAACGGGAUUAGAUACCCCGGUAGUCCUGGCCGUAAACGAUGGGUACUAGGUGUAGGAGGUAUCGACCCCUUCUGUGCCGGAGUUAACGCAAUAAGUACCCCGCCUGGGGAGUACGACCGCAAGGUUGAAACUCAAAGGAAUUGACGGGGGCCCGCACAAGCGGUGGAGUAUGUGGUUUAAUUCGACGCAACGCGGAGAACCUUACCAGGUCUU
This 450-nucleotide ribosomal RNA is filed under the name uncultured bacterium. RNAcentral's name for it is "bacterial SSU rRNA". It matches the Rfam family "Bacterial small subunit ribosomal RNA", at positions 532 to 982 of the family's 1533-position model. The record is from RNAcentral.